CUCCAGCCUGGGCAACAGGUUGAGACCUUGUCUCAAAACACAAACAAACAACACAAAAACAAACACAAAAUGCAUAGAUUUGACUGCAUCAAAACUAAAAGCUUUAUUAUGACACACUGCCCCCCCACACACACCCUACAAAGUUAAAAGAUAUACUACAGACUGGGAUAAAUAUUUGCAAUGUAUGUGAUAGACAAAGAGUAACCAGAAUAUAUAAAGAAAUCUUAUAAAUCAAAAAGAGAAAGAAAAACUCCAUGGAAAACUGGGCAGUGGACGUUGACAGGCAGGUCAUGUAAGAGAAAACUCAAAUAGCCAAGAUGCUUAUCCCCAAUAAUACUCAGAAAAACGCAGAGUGAAGUAACAAUAGCACAUCUUUUCACUCCUCAGGUUGGCAAGUGUCUUAAAGUCUACAUCAAAUAUCGGUGAGGGCGUGAAGCAAUGGGGUCUCUUGAACACUGAAGACAGAAACAGGCACCAGCACCAUCAUUUUGGGGAGAAAUUUGGCAUGAUCUUGUCAAGUUGAAGUGGUAUUAGACCAGAAAAACUACCAUCUGGGAGAGAAGGGGAAAGUGAAAAAGACAGACCUAGAAGCGAAGGAGAGAAAAGCAUUUUGUGGAUGCCUAUUUUUACAGGCUCAGAAGCCGCCAUCUGUGGGAGGGGGAAAGUCCCUAGUUCAUUGUUAUCUGACAAUCGGAGAAAAAGGUACUUUUUAAGAAAGUCAGCCAACUCCCAACUCCCAUGGCCUGAUGUCCCUUCAGUUUGCAUUUCCCUGUUCCCUCCCAGAGCUAUUUUGGGGGACUUGAUUUGCAUAUUAACCACCCUCACCCCAAAACUCUAAGACACAAUGGCAGCAACGUGUAUUACUAUGGUUGCUUAUUUUAUCACACCUCAUAUCAUCUCAGCAUGCUGCUAACUUCCUUCCAUGCACUAUUUCAUUUCAAUUCCUAACAACCCUGAGGUUGAGGCCAUCCUUUAGGGUCCUGGUGAGGGGGGGCCUUGUCCAAGGUCACACACUGUGGGGAACUGGAAAAGCAGGAUCUGCCCCUGGGCUCCAUGACUUGGAGACUAUGUUCUAGAAAACACAGCUGACAGAAAGCCAGGCAGCCAGUGACCGGAGAGCCACCUGCUCAGAGGGUGGAGUAGGUGGAAUUGUGCACACCCCCCUAACAAUUCCUGUCCCCCUGGACCCUUAGAAUGUGACCUUAUUUGGAAUGUAGGUCUUUGCAGAUGUAACUAAAGAUGAUAAGAUGAAAUCAUACUGGAUUUAGGGUGGGCCCUAAAUCUGGUGAUUGGUGUCCUUACAAAAAGAGAAAAGGGGCCAGGCGCGGUAGCUCACGCCUGUAAUCCCAGCACUUUGGGAGGCUGAGGUGGGUGGAUCACUUGAGGUCAAGAGUUCAAGACUAGCAUGGCCAACAUGGCAAAACCCCGUCUCUACUAAAAAUAUAAAAAUUGACCAGGUGCAGUGGCUCAUGCCUGUAAUCCCAGCACUUUGAGAGGCCAGGGUGGACAGAUCGCCUGAGGUCAGGAGUUCAAGACCAGCCUGCCCAACACAUUGAAAACCUGUCUCUACUAAAAAUACAAAAAUUAGCCGGGCGUGGUGGUGGGUGCCUGUAAUCCUAGCUACUCCGGAGGCUGAAGCAGGAGAAUCGCUUGAACUCGAGAGGCUGCAGUGAGCCGAGAUCAUGCCAUUGCACUCCAGCCUGGGAGACUGAAUGAGACUCGGUCUCAAAAACAAAAAAAGAGAAAAGGACACACAGAGGGUAAGGUCACGUGAAGGUCACAGAGGUCAGAAUGAUACGUCCACAAGCCAAAGACUGCAGACAACACCAGAGGCUGGGAUGGAAGAGGCCUGGGACACAUCUCCCCAUCCCAAAGCGUCCAGGAGCCAGUCCUGCCAACACCUUGAUUUUGGGCUUCUGGUUUCUGGAACUGGUGAGAAUGAGUUCCUGUUGUUGAAGCCCCCCAGUUUGUAGUAGUUUGUCACAGCAGCCACAGGCAACCAGGACAGAGGGUGUGUGCCUGAGUUAGCCAGGAUGGUCUGUAGGCCAGGUACUGUCUUUCCCUUUAUCUUUCCGGGCCACACAUUUGUCCUGGACUCCAAGGAGAAAGCCGACUUCUUCAGGGCCCAAAACCACUUGGAGAAAGCCCGAUUCUGCAGCCAACAACAGCGACAGCGGCUCCUUUUGCUCAGAGCCCACCGGUCACAUCACCUGCUGUCGCUUGAUACUUUUAAUGCUCCUAAGAAGUAGGCAGGAAGGGUAGGUGAAGUCUCUCCAUUUUGCACAAGGGCAAACUGAGGCCUGGGGAGGCGAGACCACUUGCCUGAAGUCACACCGUGCCGCACAUUUUGGCAGGGUGACAGAGGCAGAGGGAAGUGGGCACUCCUGUAUGCCAGCUGUUGGGCAUGUAAAUGGGUGUAUUCUUCCUAGGAGGGUAACAGGGCAGUUCCUUUCAUCUUUUGAAAAAAUAUUUGAGUCUCUCUGAUGUGCCAGGCUUGGGGACAAAGGAGGGGAUUGGCCCUAAACCAAUUUAUAUCAAAAUUUUAUUUCCUUUUUAUUGAGAUGGGAUCUCAUUUUGUUGUUCAGGCUGGAGUGCAGCCGCAAACUCCUGGGCUCAAGCAAUCCUCCCGCCUCAGCCUCCCAAGUAGCUAGGACUACAGGUGUGUGCCACCAUGGCUACCUUGGUUUCUAUCAACAUUUAAAAUGUCCUUAUUGCUUGACUUUACAAGAGACUCCCACGUGCACACAGGUGCUUGCUCCAGUCCUGCUUCAAGAGCCCUAAACCGGAAACCACCUCAAAGUCUGUUGCCCAGGACACCAUGGAAGACCCACACCACAGAGCACCACACCACUGUGUGGCAGGCCUGUAGACCUCACACACCCACAGGGAAAGGGGUCCUCAAUCUACGAUUAUGGGAAAACUGACAAAAUCAACCCCAACUCCCAGGAGGAGAGAGGGACUGGGUUGGUGAGUGAAACUUUGCAUUUUUUUUUCUAAUAGGUUUGGCUGAUACCAAACCUAUUAGAUAUGAUUUGGUUUGGCUGUGUCCCCACCCAAAUCUCAACUUGAAUUACCUCCCAGAAUUCUCAUGUGUUGCUGGAGGCACCCGGGGGAGGUAACUGAAACAUGGGGGCCAAUCUUUCCCAUGUGAUUCUCAUGAUAGUGAACAAGUCUCACAAGAUCUGAUGGGUUUAUCAGGGGUUUCUGCUUUUGCUUCUAAUUUUCUCUUGCUGCCGCCACAUAAGAAGUGCCUUUCGCCUCCUGCCAUAAUUCUGAGGCCUCCCCAGCCAUGUGGAAUUGUAAGUCCAAUUAAACCUCUUUUUCUUCCCA
Long non-coding RNA from Homo sapiens (human), 3330 nucleotides. RefSeq lists it as uncharacterized. NCBI's taxonomy places the organism in Eukaryota, Metazoa, Chordata, Mammalia, Primates, Hominidae. The transcript has 2 exons. The record is from RefSeq and is a predicted model, not a curated record.